GGAAUAUUGGACAAUGGGGGGAACCCUGAUCCAGCGACGCCGCGUGAGUGAAGAAGUAUUUCGGUAUGUAAAGCUCUAUCAGCAGGGAAGAAAGAAAUGACGGUACCUGGCUAAGAAGCCCCGGCUAACUACGUGCCAGCAGCCGCGGUAAUACGUAGGGGGCAAGCGUUAUCCGGAUUUACUGGGUGUAAAGGGAGCGUAGGCGGCCUGGCAAGCCUGAUGUGAAAUACCGGGGCCCAACCCCGGGGCUGCAUUGGGAACUGCCAGGCUGGAGUGCCGGAGAGGCAGGCGGAAUUCCUAGUGUAGCGGUGAAAUGCGUAGAUAUUAGGAGGAACACCAGUGGCGAAGGCGGCCUGCUGGACGGUGACUGACGCUGAGGCUCGAAAGCGUGGGGAGCAAACAG
This 403-nucleotide ribosomal RNA is filed under the name uncultured bacterium. Its description in RNAcentral is "bacterial SSU rRNA". It matches the Rfam family "Bacterial small subunit ribosomal RNA", at positions 358 to 775 of the family's 1533-position model. The record is from RNAcentral.